This 372-nucleotide long non-coding RNA is filed under the name Medicago truncatula (barrel medic). RNAcentral describes it as "long non-coding RNA (MTRU_LNC006218)". Lineage: Eukaryota; Viridiplantae; Streptophyta; Magnoliopsida; Fabales; Fabaceae. The record is from RNAcentral.
UUUUAAUAAUAAUUAGAAUAAGUGGGAAAUUAAUAUUAUUUUGGAGGUUGGGGAGUUAAUUAGGAAUUAAUAGAAUUAAGGGGAGUUUAAUAGAAUUAAAGGGAAGUUACUUUUUGGGAGUUAAGAAAAGAGAAUUCAGAGAAAUAGUUUUCACGUACAAUCAUGUUUUGGGAGAAAAACCAGAGAAAGCCAAGAGGAGAACCAAGCAGGGAGAUUUUGAUCUUGAGAGCUUUUCUUUCUGCAAAACUAAGGUAAGGGUGAGGUUUACUUUCAAUAGUAUGGAUUAUAAUUCUGAUUUUGGUUUAACCUAGUUCUGGUAGAAAUUGGGAAUUUGGGUCUAGGUUUUGAUUCUUCGAAUUCUGGACGGAAUGA